RNAcentral lists this ribosomal RNA (301 nucleotides) under uncultured bacterium. RNAcentral describes it as "partial 16S ribosomal RNA". It matches the Rfam family "Bacterial small subunit ribosomal RNA", at positions 509 to 807 of the family's 1533-position model. The record is from RNAcentral.
CAGUCGCCGCGGGAAUACGUAGGUGGCAAGCGUUGUCCGGAAUUAUUGGGCGUAAAGGGCUCGCAGGCGGUUUCUUAAGUCUGAUGUGAAAGCCCCCGGCUCAACCGGGGAGGGUCAUUGGAAACUGGGAAACUUGAGUGCAGAAGAGGAGAGUGGAAUUCCACGUGUAGCGGUGAAAUGCGUAGAGAUGUGGAGGAACACCAGUGGCGAAGGCGAUUCUCUGGUCUGUAACUGACGCUGAGGAGCGAAAGCGUGGGGAGCGAACAGGAUUAGAUACCCGAGUAGUCCCUGUCUCUUAUAC